Long non-coding RNA from Mauremys reevesii (Reeves's turtle), 314 nucleotides. RefSeq lists it as uncharacterized. NCBI's taxonomy places the organism in Eukaryota, Metazoa, Chordata, Testudines, Geoemydidae. The transcript has 3 exons. The record is from RefSeq and is a predicted model, not a curated record.
CAGCUGUCAAGAGACCUGGAAGGGCUUUAAUCUGUCCAAAGAAAAUGCCAGCAGUUGGUGACCAUCCAAAGUGUGGAGCGUUAGCAUGUGGCUUUGGAAGAAGUCAAGCUUAGGCAUGAAAAUAGAUGGAACAUUCAAUGAAUACUUUCCUCCACUUGUUGACAGAAGCAACUCCACACCAACCAGUCAUCCAGGUAGAAGUAUACCUGGACAUCCCAGCGGUGGAGAACAGAUUUGUGAGAUGAGUCCCUGAAAAGGGACAGGAAAUGCAGGUGGGAAUGGAUGUCAGACAGGAACUGCAGAGUAUAUCCUGU